Molecule: ribosomal RNA, 497 nt
Filed under: uncultured bacterium
Lineage: Bacteria
Description: partial 16S ribosomal RNA
Rfam family: Bacterial small subunit ribosomal RNA
Source: RNAcentral
GAUGAACGCUGGCGGCGUGCCUAAUACAUGCCAGUCGAGCGAACGGACGAGAAGCUUGCUUCUCUGAUGUUAGCGGCGGACGGGUGAGUAACACGUGGAUAACCUACCUAUAAGACUGGGAUAACUUCGGGAAACCGGAGCUAAUACCGGAUAAUAUUUUGAACCGCAUGGUUCAAAAGUGAAAGACGGUCUUGCUGUCACUUAUAGAUGGAUCCGCGCUGCAUUAGCUAGUUGGUAAGGUAACGGCUUACCAAGGCAACGAUGCAUAGCCGACCUGAGAGGGUGAUCGGCCACACUGGAACUGAGACACGGUCCAGACUCCUACGGGAGGCAGCAGUAGGGAAUCUUCCGCAAUGGGCGAAAGCCUGACGGAGCGACGCCGCGUGAGUGAUGAAGGUCUUCGGAUCGUAAAACUCUGUUAUUAGGGAAGAACAUAUGUGUAAGUAACUGUGCACAUCUUGACGGUACCUAAUCAGAAAGCCACGGCUAACUACGUG